RNAcentral lists this microRNA precursor (78 nucleotides) under Schistosoma mansoni. RNAcentral's name for it is "mir-3492 microRNA precursor family". It matches the Rfam family "mir-3492 microRNA precursor family". The record is from Rfam by way of RNAcentral. Lineage: Eukaryota; Metazoa; Platyhelminthes; Trematoda; Strigeidida; Schistosomatidae.
AACCUUCUGUAUCCGUGCUGAGAAAUCAACACACACCAGACCACAAGGGCUGAUGAGACUCCCAAGAUAAAUGUACUA